GACGAACGCUGGCGGCGUGCUUAACACAUGCAAGUCGAACGGAAAGGCCCUGCUUUUGUGGGGUGCUCGAGUGGCGAACGGGUGAGUAACACGUGAGUAACCUGCCCUUGACUUUGGGAUAACUUCAGGAAACUGGGGCUAAUACCGGAUAGGAGCUCCUGCUGCAUGGUGGGGGUUGGAAAGUUUCGGCGGUUGGGGAUGGACUCGCGGCUUAUCAGCUUGUUGGUGGGGUAGUGGCUUACCAAGGCUUUGACGGGUAGCCGGCCUGAGAGGGUGACCGGCGACAUGGGGACGAAGGGACGGACCAGUGGCCAACGGGCGGCAGCGGGGGGGAAUAUGGCAGAACGGGGGGAGGUCGGAGGCAGCAGCUCCGGGUGCGGGAUACCGGCCUUCGGGGGGGAAACCGCAGGCGCCGGUGACGAAGCCGGAUUGACGGUAACGGAUAAGGAAGCACCGGCUAACUACGUG
RNAcentral lists this ribosomal RNA (468 nucleotides) under uncultured bacterium. RNAcentral's name for it is "partial 16S ribosomal RNA". It matches the Rfam family "Bacterial small subunit ribosomal RNA", at positions 28 to 507 of the family's 1533-position model. The record is from RNAcentral.